This 1291-nucleotide ribosomal RNA is filed under the name uncultured organism. RNAcentral describes it as "bacterial SSU rRNA". It matches the Rfam family "Bacterial small subunit ribosomal RNA", at positions 49 to 1306 of the family's 1533-position model. The record is from RNAcentral.
UAACACAUGCAAGUCGAACGAGAAAGUUUCUUCGGAGAACGAGUACAGUGGCAGACGGGUGAGUAAUGCAUAGAUAAUCUACCCGGAAGCAGGGAAUAACACACUGAAAAGCGUGCUAAUACCCUAUAAUGUCUGCUUUUAUUAAGAAGGCAGAUGAAAGGAGGGGCUACCUAUAAGGUACCUUCCACUUUCGGAUGAGUCUAUGUCCUAUUAGCUUGAUGGUGGGGUAACGGCCUACCAUGGCGAUGAUGGGUAGCCGAGCUGAGAGGCUGAUCGGCCACACUGGAACUGAAACACGGUCCAGACUCCCACGGGAGGCUGCAGUGGAGAAUUUUGCGCAAUGGGCGAAAGCCUGACGCAGCGACGCCGCGUGAGGGAUGAAGGUCUUCGGAUCGUAAACCUCUGUCAAGAAGGAGUAAACGUGCGCAUACGAAUAAUAUGUGCAUCUGACAUUACUUCUAGAGGAAGUCCCGGCUAAUUACGUGCCAGCAGCCGCGGUAAUACGUAGGGGGCAAGCAUUACUCGGAAUUACUGGGUGUAAAGCGAGCGUAGGCGGUUUGGUAAGUUAGUGGUGAAAGUCCCCGGCUUAACCGGGGGAUUGCCAUUAAAACUGCCAGACUAGAGGACAAGAGAGGAAAGUGGAAUUCCUAGUGUAGCGGUGGAAUGCGUAGAGAUUAGGAAGAACACCGGAAGCGAAAGCGACUCUCUGGUUCGAUACUGACGCUGAGGCGCGAGAGCGUAGGUAGCGAACGGGAUUAGAUACCCCGGUAGUCUACGCUGUAAAUGAUGGGCACUGGAUGGGGGGGGCGCCGAUAGCUCUCUCCGUCGAAGUUAAUGCGUUAAGUGCCCCGCCUGGGGACUACGGUCGCAAGGUUAAAACUCAAAGGAAUUGACGGGGGCCCACACAAGCGGUGGAGGAUGCGGCUUAAUUCGAGGACACGCGUAGAACCUUACCGAGGCUUGACAUGCAGGGAUUAAUCCGGCGAAAGCCGGAGGAUUACCUUACGGUGUAACCUGUACAGGUGCUGCAUGGCUGUCGACAGUUCGUGUCGUGAGAUGUUAGGUUAAGUCCUGAAACGAGCGAAACCCCUGUGCUUAAUUGCCAGCGCGUUAUGGCGGGGACAUUAAGCAGACUGCCUCGGCUAACGGGGAGGAAGGUGGGGAUGACGUCAAGUCAGCAUGGCCCUUAUGCUUCGGGCCGCACGCGUCCUACAAUGGGCAGUACAAUGGGGACCAAUCCCGCGAGGGGGAGGAAAUCCGAGAAAGCUGUCCUCAGUUCGGAUUGCAGGCU